GAUCAGAUUGUGGGCUGCAACCCGCCUACUUGAAGUCGGAAUCGCUAGUAAUCGCAGAUCAGCAUGCUGCGGUGAAUACGUUCCCGGGCCUUGUACACACCGCCCGUCACACCAUGAGAGUCGGGAACACCCGAAGCCUGUAGCCUAACCAUUCGGAGGGCGCAGUCGAAGGUGGGUUCGAUAAUUGGGGUGAAGUCGUAACCGGUAUCCGUAGA
This 215-nucleotide ribosomal RNA is filed under the name uncultured bacterium. RNAcentral's name for it is "partial 16S ribosomal RNA". It matches the Rfam family "Bacterial small subunit ribosomal RNA", at positions 1291 to 1506 of the family's 1533-position model. The record is from RNAcentral.